Molecule: ribosomal RNA, 415 nt
Filed under: uncultured microorganism
Description: bacterial SSU rRNA
Rfam family: Archaeal small subunit ribosomal RNA
Source: RNAcentral
GCGCACCAGGCGAGAAACCUCCGCAAUGCGGGAAACCGCGACGGGGGGACCCCGAGUGCCGUGGCAACGCCACGGCUUUUCCGGAGUGUAAAAAGCUCCGGGAAUAAGGGCUGGGCAAGGCCGGUGGCAGCCGCCGCGGUAAUACCGGCGGCCCGAGUGGUGGCCGCUAUUAUUGGGCCUAAAGCGUCCGUAGCCGGGCCCGUAAGUCCCUGGCGAAAUCCCACGGCUCAACCGUGGGGCUUGCUGGGGAUACUGCGGGUCUUGGGACCGGGAGAGGCGGGGGGUACCCCUGGGGUAGGGGUGAAAUCCUAUAAUCCCAGGGGGACCGCCAGUGGCGAAGGCGCCCCGCUGGAACGGGUCCGACGGUGAGGGACGAAGGCCAGGGGAGCAAAACCGGAUUAGAUACCCGCGUAGU